CUAAGAAUAUUCCGCAAUGGGGGAAACCCUGACGGAGCGACGCCGCGUGGAUGAUGAAGGCCGGAAGGUUGUAAAGUCCUUUUGGGCGCAAAGAAUAAGUACGCGAGGAAAUGCGCGUGCGGUGACGGUAGCGCCUGAAUAAGCAACGGCUAAUUACGUGCCAGCAGCCGCGGUAACACGUAAGUUGCGAGCGUUGUUCGGAAUUAUUGGGCGUAAAGGGCAUGUAGGCGGUCGUGCAAGCUUGGUGUGAAAUCCCGGGGCUCAACUCCGGGACUGCGUUGAGAACUGCACGGCUAGAGUAACUGAGGGGCAGCCGGAAUUCCAGGUGUAGGGGUGAAAUCUGUAGAUAUCUGGAAGAACACCAAUGGCGAAGGCAGGCUGCCAGCAGAUUACUGACGCUGAGGUGCGAAGGUGCGGGGAGCAAACAGG
Molecule: ribosomal RNA, 429 nt
Filed under: uncultured bacterium
Lineage: Bacteria
Also listed under: 1 other name
Description: bacterial SSU rRNA
Rfam family: Bacterial small subunit ribosomal RNA
Source: RNAcentral